Molecule: small RNA, 26 nt
Filed under: Bombyx mori (domestic silkworm)
Lineage: Eukaryota; Metazoa; Arthropoda; Insecta; Lepidoptera; Bombycidae
Description: ovarian small RNA-28046
Source: RNAcentral
UCCUUGAGGCGGUGGACCUGUUGUAC